CUUCCGUUGAAUGACGUGCUUGCACUGAUUUCAACAAUGAAGCGAGUGGCGAACUGGUGAGUAACACGUGGGAAAUCUGCCCAGAAGCAGGGGAUAACACUUGGAAACAGGUGCUAAUACCGUAUAACAACAAAAUCCGCAUGGAUUUUGUUUGAAAGGUGGCUUCGGCUAUCACUUCUGGAUGAUCCCGCGGCGUAUUAGUUAGUUGGUGAGGUAAAGGCCCACCAAGACGAUGAUACGUAGCCGACCUGAGAGGGUAAUCGGCCACAUUGGGACUGAGACACGGCCCAAACUCCUACGGGAGGCAGCAGUAGGGAAUCUUCCACAAUGGACGAAAGUCUGAUGGAGCAAUGCCGCGUGAGUGAAGAAGGGUUUCGGCUCGUAAAACUCUGUUGUUAAAGAAGAACACCUUUGAGAGUAACUGUUCAAGGGUUGACGGUAUUUAACCAGAAAGCCACGGCUAACUACGUGCCAGCAGCCGCGGUAAUACGUAGGUGGCAAGCGUUGUCCGGAUUUAUUGGGCGUAAAGCGAGCGCAGGCGGUUUUUUAAGUCUGAUGUGAAAGCCUUCGGCUUAACCGG
Molecule: ribosomal RNA, 580 nt
Filed under: Levilactobacillus brevis
Lineage: Bacteria; Bacillati; Bacillota; Bacilli; Lactobacillales; Lactobacillaceae
Description: bacterial SSU rRNA
Rfam family: Bacterial small subunit ribosomal RNA
Source: RNAcentral